Molecule: unclassified non-coding RNA, 253 nt
Filed under: uncultured Halieaceae bacterium
Lineage: Bacteria; Pseudomonadati; Pseudomonadota; Gammaproteobacteria; Cellvibrionales; Halieaceae
Description: contains 16S-23S intergenic spacer region
Rfam family: Bacterial small subunit ribosomal RNA
Source: RNAcentral
UACGGAGGGUGCAAGCGUUAAUCGGAAUUACUGGGCGUAAAGCGCGCGUAGGUGGCUAAAUAAGUCGGAUGUGAAAUCCCCGGGCUCAACCUGGGAAUUGCAUACGAUACUGUUUGGCUAGAGUACGAGAGAGGAAGGUAGAAUUCCACGUGUAGCGGUGAAAUGCGUAGAUAUGUGGAGGAAUACCAGUGGCGAAGGCGGCCUUCUGGCUCGAUACUGACACUGAGGUGCGAAAGCGUGGGGAGCAAACAGG